ACUCAAAUGAAUAGACGGGGGCCCGCACAAGCGGUGGAGCAUGUGGUUUAAUUCGAUGCAACGCGAAGAACCUUACCUACCCUUGACAUCCUCCGAAUCUGACUGAGAGGUUGGAGUGCCGAAAGGAGCGGAGAGACAGGUGCUGCAUGGCUGUCGUCAGCUCGUGUCGUGAGAUGUUGGGUUAAGUCCCGUAACGAGCGCAACCCUUGUCCUUAGUUGCCAGCAUGUAAGAGAUGGGCACUCUAAGGAGACUGCCGGUGAUAAACCGGAGGAAGGUGGGGAUGAGGUCAAGUCAUCAUGGCCUUUAUGGGUAGGGCUACACACGUGCUACAAUGGUCGUUACAGAGAGAAGCAAACCCGCGAGGGGAAGCGAAUCUUGCAAAAGCGAUCGUAGUCCGGAUUGGAGUCUGCAACUCGACUCCAUGAAGUUGGAAUCGCUAGUAAUCGCGGAUCAGAACGCCGCGGUGAAUACGUUCCCGGGCCUUGCACACACCGCCCGU
This 500-nucleotide ribosomal RNA is filed under the name uncultured bacterium. RNAcentral describes it as "partial 16S ribosomal RNA". It matches the Rfam family "Bacterial small subunit ribosomal RNA", at positions 899 to 1397 of the family's 1533-position model. The record is from RNAcentral.